RNAcentral lists this long non-coding RNA (589 nucleotides) under Mytilus galloprovincialis (Mediterranean mussel). The record is from RNAcentral. Lineage: Eukaryota; Metazoa; Mollusca; Bivalvia; Mytilida; Mytilidae.
GAAAUAAAAAAAGUUAUAAAUGGACUUGAAUUAGGGAAAGUUGCUGGCCCUGAUAGAAUUAUAAAUGAAGUUAUAAAAUACUCUAACCCAUUUAUGAUUAAAAAUUAUGUAAAAAUAUUUAAUCUUAUUCUACUAACAGGAAAUACCCUAAAACAUGGAGAAACUCAUUUUUAGUCCCAUUACAUAAAUCUGGAGAUAAAAAUGAUCCCAAUAACUACAGAGGAGUCUCAAUGAUUAAUUGUCUUGCAAAAAUAUUUAAUGCAACUCUAAACAAUAGGCUUACUAAAAUUAUAGAUGAACAAUUAGGUAAGUCAAUUUGGUUUUAGAGAGAACCACAGAACUGCAGAUAGCAUUUUUAUAUUAAAAUCUCUAAUAACUAAGUAUUUACAUAAAAACAAAAAAAUUUUAUGCUUGUUUUGUAGAUUUAAGAAAGGCAUUUGACUCUGUAUGGAGAGAUGCUCUUUUGUACAAACUUUAUAAUAUGGGGGUAGGUAAGAAACUUUUUAACAUUAUAAAACAUCAAUAUGAUGACACUGGGUCUUCAAUUAAAUACAAAAACAUGGUAACUGAUAUGUUUAAUAUUACAAGA